Strigops habroptila (Kakapo) is the source of this 2952-nucleotide long non-coding RNA. The record is from Ensembl. NCBI's taxonomy places the organism in Eukaryota, Metazoa, Chordata, Aves, Psittaciformes, Psittacidae.
GGGCUGCGGUGGCGCGCGGCGGCGGCGGCGGCGGCAGCUCGUCCCCGGGCAGCACAGAGGCACCCCCGGAGCCGGGCCAGGUGCCUGCCUCGUCCCAGCACGAUGGGGAAGCAGAACAGCAAACUGCGCCCCGAGAUGCUCCAGGACCUGCGGGAAAACACCGAGUUCUCCGACCUGGAGCUGCAGGGCUGGUACAAGGGUUUCCUGAAGGAUUGUCCCUCCGGGAUCCUCAACGUGGAAGAGUUCAAGAAGAUCUACGCCAACUUCUUCCCUUACGGCGACGCCUCCAAGUUUGCCGAGCACGUCUUCCGCACCUUCGACACCAACGGCGACGGCACCAUCGACUUCCGAGAGUUCAUCAUCGCCCUGAGCGUCACCUCCCGCGGGAAGCUGGAGCAGAAGCUCAUGUGGGCCUUCAGCAUGUACGACCUGGACGGCAACGGCUACAUCAGCCGGGAGGAGAUGCUGGAGAUCGUGCAGGCCAUCUACAAAAUGGUCUCCUCGGUGAUGAACAUGCCCGAAGAUGAAUCGACUCCGGAGAAAAGAACGGAAAAAAUCUUCCGCCAGAUGGAUACUAAUAACGAUGGUAAGCUUUCGCUGGAGGAGUUCAUCAAAGGUGCCAAGAGUGACCCGUCCAUCGUGCGCCUGCUGCAGUGUGACCCCAGCGGUGCCGCACAGUUCUGAGCCCCACGGACCCCCACAGCCUUCCCACAGCCCCACACCACCCCCCGACCCUGCGGCUGGCUACUGCCCCCUGCCCGGCCCCUGUGGUCCCCCCACUGCCCGGCCCCCAUGAGGAGAGAGCUGGAGCCCAGCAGAGGCUGCGGCAAGGGGGGACCCGGGGGGGGACGGUCCCCGUGGCCAGGGGGCUCCCACACUGGUUCAACUGGGGGAAGUAUGGAGCAGGGUCUGCCCUGAGCGAGGAUGUUCCCCCCAGCACCAGGGGCUUGGAGAAGGGGACAACCCAGCCUGGUGGGAAAGGUUCAUGGCGAAGCCACCACCGCAUCCCUGGCAGGCGCAGGGACACAGCCCAGGGGACAAAGACACGGUGGCUUGGGGACCCCCAGCACCCCCCAUGCAUGCAGACAUGGCCAUGGGGCCGAGCCAGCCCCUUCCCCACAGCCAGCACAAGGGCAGGGGCUGCGGGGAGGGGACACACUUCUCGUCUUUUAAUACCUACAGAAUAAAGUUUGUGCCAGUGCAGUCAGUGGUGGGAAAGGGGCAUCAAUGGGGAAUGGUUGUCCCUGCAAGGUCUGGAUCCAGCCCGGUUGCUUCCCUUGGUGCAGCCAAGUCAUGGGGAUGGGCUCAUGGGUCGUGGCUGGUGGCAUCUAAGGGACAUGUCCACGCAGUAGCUGGGUUGAGGGGCAGCGGGGUCCUGGUGUGGGGCUGUGAAGGUGCUGGGACAGGCAGGGCUGGCCGGGCACAUCCACAGGGUUGUCCCUCAGGUGCCACUCAGACCCAGGCAGCUUCCCCACUGUGCAGCCUCAGCAAGCCCAGGCACUGCCUGGGGUCGGGGCUCUCCACAGGGGCUGCCUGCAGGGAGACCAGCGAGCCAGAGGAUGAUGAGAAUGAGGCUUAGUCCUAUCCCAGAGCCCCCGAGCACAGCCAGGUCCAUCCAAGCCCUGCUCGGGCUGAGCCCAGGACCAGGAGUCACUUCCCUCUGGUGCAUUCUGCGGCAGCAGCAGCCAAGGUGGAGGAGACGGAGGGUGAGCAGGAGGCAGCGGAUGCUGAAGACAAUCUCCAUCGAGUCGAGCAGGAGGGAGACAGCCCCGAGGGACAGCGCGGACCUCUGUGGGGACACACAAAGAAGUGGUAAAUGCUCCAUCCCUGGCAGUGUUCAAGGCCAGGUUGGACACAGGGGCUUGGAGCAACCUGCUCUAGUGGAAGGUGUCCCUGCCCGUGGCAGGGGUUGGAACUGGAUGAGCUUUAAGGUCCCUUCCAACACAAACCAGGCUGGGAUUCUGUGGCACAAGGCAUCAAUUCCCACCCAUCCUCCCCAUCCCUGGUGCAAACACCCACUGAGGACUCACACAGACAUGGGUGGGAUCAAAGGGGCACUCGCAGGAGACUGGGGUGAAGGCGACAUCGGUAUCGGUGCAGGGGGACAGCAGCGCCCGGCUGCGGGAUGGUGAUGGCCAGUGCCAGCAGGCAGGACCAGCAGGACCAGCUGCUGGUGGUGCUCAGGGUGAAAACCACUUCUGCAGGAGGGGGAGAGAAGUGGCAACGCAGUGAGGCACCUUUCAGACCUUCUCUGAAAGCAUACAACCGGCCUCUGCAAAAGGUUUUGAAGGCCACGGAGCCAGCAAUAAAGGUACUGAGCAGACAGGGAGGCGUGCGGCUGGCUUGCAGGUAGGGGUAGUUUUCUUUUGACUUUUAAGUACAGGGAGAGAAGAAAGUUUAACAGGGAAAAAACCCACAAUUUUGUUGAUCAAAACAGGCAUGUGGUCCUGUCAUGCAAUACAUCCGGGAAAACAGCCAUCUCAGGAUGCAUCCGAAGAGGGACAGUGAGCAACAACCACCACUAACACUUAAUGAUACGAAGUGCUCAGGCUGUGGCAGGUUCACACUCGUGUUCUUGCAGUGAAACAAUUGCUCUGUGAACUACAUUAUAUUCUGAAUUUCAUCUUCAUUUGCUCGUGGCCAGUAACGUAACACAAGCACCCACGUGUGUGAGGCCUCAAGGUGAAUGGUUGGAGCACCUUAGAUUUUUAAAAGGCAGCAAAAUGGAGGACCUUAAAUUUGAAAUUCCCGGUGUUUCUUGAAGUUGUUCAGCCUCAAAAUACAACCCUGCAAAGCUACAAAGGCAUAAAAUGAGUUGAAACCACUGGUGUUCAGCUAAUAGAUAAUUUGGCUUAGUCAUGCUUACUAGGAACACAAAUCUGUAAGACACAGUCAAAGACAACAAUUCAUUUAAUCCAAACCAUAAUGUUAAAUAUUAACGAUAUCAAUGUU